AAAGUACUCCCUCCGUCCUAAAAUUCUUGUCUUAGAUUUGUCUAGAUACGGAUGUAUCAAGUCACUACAUCCGUAUCUAGACAAAUCUAAGACAAGAAAUUUGGGACAGAGGGAGUAGUUG
Triticum aestivum (bread wheat) is the source of this 121-nucleotide non-coding RNA. The record is from Rfam. Lineage: Eukaryota; Viridiplantae; Streptophyta; Magnoliopsida; Poales; Poaceae.